This 253-nucleotide ribosomal RNA is filed under the name uncultured bacterium. RNAcentral describes it as "partial 16S ribosomal RNA". It matches the Rfam family "Bacterial small subunit ribosomal RNA", at positions 524 to 776 of the family's 1533-position model. The record is from RNAcentral.
UGCGGAGGGGGCAAGCGUUAUUCGGAAUUAUUGGGCGUAAAGGGCGCGUAGGCGGCUAGAUGUGUCAAAGGUGAAAUCCCUCGGCUCAACUGAGGAACUGCCUUUGAAACUGUCUGGCUUGAGGCCGGGAGAGGGUAGCGGAAUUCCCAGUGUAGCGGUGAAAUGCGCAGAUAUCAGGAGGAACACCGGUGGCGAAGGCGGGUCUCUGGGCCGUAACUGACGCUGAGGAGCGAAAGCGUGGGGAGCAAACAGG